Long non-coding RNA from Cyprinus carpio (common carp), 1008 nucleotides. The record is from Ensembl. Lineage: Eukaryota; Metazoa; Chordata; Actinopteri; Cypriniformes; Cyprinidae.
AUGCACACUCUCUCUCACACUUUCACACUCUCGCUCGCUCACUCACACACACACACACUCACUCUAACACAAACACACACUCACUCACUCACACACGCACACUCACACGCACACACUCUCACUCACACACACACACACACACACACACACUCUCUCUCUCUCACACACACUCACACAUUCACACACACACACACACUCACUCUCACACACGCACACUCACUCACACUCGCACACUCUCACACGCACACACUCUCACACGCACACACUCUCACUCACACACACACACACACACACACACACUCACACACACACUCACACACACUCUCACACACACACACAUACACACACACUCACUCACGCUCACACACACACACACUCGCUCACACACACACACACUUGCUCACACACACACACACGCUCACACACUCUCGCGCACACACACUCUCGCGCACACACACACACUCUCGCGCGCACACACACUCUCGCGCGCACACACACUCUCGCGAACACACACACUCUCGCGCACACACACUCUCGCGCACACACACUCUCGCGCACACACACACACACACUCUCGCGCACACACACACACUCUCGCGCACACACACUCACAUUCUCACAAACUCACUCACACAGUCUCUCUCACACACACACACACCCUCACGUACACUCAUACUCUCUCACACACACACACUUACUCACACACACACACACUCACAGUCUCUCUCACACAAACACAUUCUCUCACGUACACUCAUACUCUCUUACACACUCACACACACACACUUACUCACACACACACACUCUCUCUCACACACACUCACAGUCUCUCUCACACAAACACAUUCUCUCACACACUCACACAGGUGUGAAGCUAACUCACCUCCACCGAUAAAACACUGCCCUUCAUCACACUGUCCAUCUGAAUCAGUGAACCCUCCUCCAGCUGCAGACAACACACACACACACACACACAGAGGAGGAGGUAGAGUACGAUGCGUCACAUGA